This 1292-nucleotide long non-coding RNA is filed under the name Medicago truncatula (barrel medic). RNAcentral's name for it is "lncRNA gene30621". The record is from RNAcentral. Lineage: Eukaryota; Viridiplantae; Streptophyta; Magnoliopsida; Fabales; Fabaceae.
CCUCUUCUCCUCAACACAUUAUCUUCCUCUUCUUUUCUUCUUCCUCUUCACAACCCCAAAAUCUUUGUGGGUUUUGAUUUCCAAUUUCAGCUCACAAAAUCAAUGUUACAAUUCGUUUUUCAUUUUCGAAUAAAUUCUUACAUGGUUGCUAAUCGUUCAUGACAAUGUGUUUUGUGGUAGAGAGGGUUUUCUGUUUCUAGAAGCUUCUAUCAGAGUUUUUGUUGACAGUGUUGAAAUUAGAAAGGGGAUCAUAGUGGAGUUAAUGAAGGGAGAUAGGGUCUUGCUUGCUUGGCCAUCCAACACAGUCUGAGCCUCAUUAACACAUGGUUAUAAACUGGCUGCAAUUUGUACUACAGUUGAUUACAAUACACACCCUCCUGAUAAAAUUUAUAGCAAUUUCAUUGAUGCACUUCCUGUAUGAAAUUGCAGGAGGUUAAGACUGAACAAUGGCAGGAUUCGGUGGUUACGGAGGUGGUGACGGUGCCGGAAGUGGAACGAAGGUUUUGAAUGGUGGCUUUGACAAGGUCGGUGGUGGAGUGGUGUGAUUCGCCGUAAAUUCGAACGUUUGUAUGAAGAUCAUGGUGUGAUUAAGCAUGAACUCAUCAACUGUUGAUGACCAAUUUCUAUUUGAGCAAUUAUUAUAAAUAUGAUACUGCAUCUUUUGGUGGAUUAGAGGAGGGGUCACCGUGGUGCACAUCGGCCAUGACAGGAACCUUCGACAUUGAUUAUGAAUGGUAGUGUCUUCCUCUUAUUUGGAGUUAUCUUUUUGACUGGUUGGGUUGCAAAUGUGAAGCUAUACAUAUGAGAGUUGUUGUCAAAGGGUUCAGCUGAAGUUGUCUACAAUAGAAGAAGUGAUGCAUUUACUGCUCUUAAACGAUAUAACAAUGUGCUUUUGGAUGGAAAGCCCAUGAAGAUUGAGAUUGUUGGAACAAAUUCAGAAUUGCCUGUAACUGCACGAGCGAAUGUCUCUGCAAUGAAUAGGCAGAGGAAGAGGACUUUUGUAAUGACAAUUAAUUAGUUUGGUGAGCAUCAGUAUCUCUUAUAUGGUCUUUAAAUUGGGUUCUCAUGGUAAUGUGGUGGUGCUAUCAAGUUGUGUUGUCUUCAAGUCAUCCAAAGGUGUUGGUUGAGAUUUUGGUGAUGUAUCAAGGUACUGCUCUGCAUCUGCGUUUGGGGUAGCAGAGUUUGUGGUUACUAUUGGAUUGAUUUGUAGUGUUACAAGGUUGGAUUGCUUGCAAUCUGUCCAAUUUUUUUUCAGCUUCUAGCUUAGCUUUGGUUCUAGUUAUGAAGACCGA